GAGCGCACGCGGCAACGAGGUGACUUCCCCGGCACCUACGUCGAGUUCCUGGGUCCUGUAGCCCUGGCCCGGCCUGGCCCUCGUCCACGUGGCCCCCGCCCACUGCCCGCCAGGCCCCGGGAUGGGCCCCCUGAGCCAGCCACUUUGUUGUUCCCGCUAAGGAGAGAGAGAGGACACGUGAGCCAGUUUCUUACUUGAGGACACCGAGGCGCAGAGGGGGCCUCACACUCCCCGACCUGCCAGAGCAGUUCUCCCCACCUGAUGUGGCUCCCCCGAUCCUGGUGAAGCUGGUGGAGGCCAUUGAGCGGACAGGGCUAGACAGCGAAUCCCUCUACAGGC
Ailuropoda melanoleuca (giant panda) is the source of this 339-nucleotide long non-coding RNA. RefSeq lists it as uncharacterized. The record is from RefSeq and is a predicted model, not a curated record. The transcript is spliced from 4 exons. Lineage: Eukaryota; Metazoa; Chordata; Mammalia; Carnivora; Ursidae.